Molecule: ribosomal RNA, 406 nt
Filed under: Verrucomicrobiota bacterium
Lineage: Bacteria; Pseudomonadati; Verrucomicrobiota
Description: Verrucomicrobia bacterium partial 16S ribosomal RNA
Rfam family: Bacterial small subunit ribosomal RNA
Source: RNAcentral
UGGGGAAUAUUGGGCAAUGGGCGAAAGCCUGACCCAGCAACGCCGCGUGAGUGAUGAAGGCCUUCGGGUUGUAAAACUCUUUGGACAGGGACGAAGAAAGUGACGGUACCUGUAGAACAAGCCACGGCUAACUACGUGCCAGCAGCCGCGGUAAUACGUAUGGGGCGAGCGUUGUCCGGAAUUAUUGGGCGUAAAGGGUACGUAGGCGGUUUUUUAAGUCAGGUGUCAAAGCGUGGAGCUUAACUCCAUUAAGCACUUGAAACUGAUAGACUUGAGUGAAGGAGAAGAAAGUGGAAUUCCUAGUGUAGCGGUGAAAUUCGUCGAUAUUAGGAGGAAUACCGGUGGCGAAGGCGACUUUCUGGACUUUUACUGACGCUCAGGUACGAAAGCGUGGGGAGCAAACAGG